GGGCGUGUGGUCUAGUGGUAUGAUUCUCGCUUUGGGUGAUAGUUGAUUCAACUGAACAAAUCUGCGAGAGGCCCUGGGUUCAAUUCCCAGCUCGCCCC
Molecule: non-coding RNA, 98 nt
Organism: Australozyma saopauloensis
Lineage: Eukaryota; Fungi; Ascomycota; Pichiomycetes; Serinales; Metschnikowiaceae
Source: the annotation of a RefSeq genome assembly